RNAcentral lists this RNase P RNA (310 nucleotides) under Ignisphaera aggregans. RNAcentral's name for it is "RNase P RNA component". It matches the Rfam family "Archaeal RNase P". From Rfam's summary of the family: Ribonuclease P (RNase P) is a ubiquitous endoribonuclease, found in archaea, bacteria and eukarya as well as chloroplasts and mitochondria. The record is from RNAcentral. Lineage: Archaea; Thermoproteati; Thermoproteota; Thermoprotei; Desulfurococcales; Desulfurococcaceae.
CCUGGUUCGCGGACUACUACGGGGUGCUCUGAGGAAACACCACCCUCCGCAUAGCCCAGAGCCCCGCAAGGGGCUAGGGUAAUACCCUAGGCUCUGGCACAGAGACGAUAUGGCUGCAAGUCGAUGAGGAUGAGGUGGUAAGACCCUCUAGGUAACUAGAGGGUAGAUAAUCCGCUGACAAGACUUGCAGAUGCAGUGAAACGGCCAACCUCUGGGGAGUAAGGCAAACCCCUGAUGAAGGCUAUGUGAGGGGGUACAACCGCUUAGCCUAAUGUAGUCUACCACAGAAGGUGGGUUAUCGCGAAUCAGG